GCUGCAGUGGCGGGGAGUGGGGUGCGGAUCUUGUGUUUGCGCACGCAGUCGCCGGCCACCUCAGGCCGGAGCUAGAGAUACGGCUCGGGAUAGGAGGGCCCGGCGGCUCUGAGGCAGGUUCGCCUCGAGCCGCACGGCCCGGAGCAGCGGCUCCGCGGUGGUCCCCGGGGCUUGAGAGGGGUGCGGGCCUGGGAGCCCCUGAGGGCCUGAUUUACGGAACUCCCCCUCCUUCCUCCUUUCUGCCGUUCCCUGCUCUGUGGCGGAUGCGCAGGGAUCAGUAGGGACGGCAGCAGUAGGGCCACUCGGGCCUGCCCCGCUUCCCGCAUUGCCCGGUUUGGCGCGCCGCCUCCGGGCCUUGGCAAAGCCCCAGCGCCCGAUUGUCACUGACCAGUGCUUGGAAGUCCUUUACCGACUGCCCGUCAGCGUCCCGCGGAGAGGAUUUUGCGUCUCCAAAGACGCCCCUCUUCCGAAAACAGGCUCCUCUGUGUUCUCAGUCGGGUAUAUUUUUCUGUCUCCAAACUAGAUUGGCAGCCGUUUUUUGAGAGCAGGAUGGCACCUGACUUGAAGAUAGCACCUGACUUGAAGAUGGCACCUGACUAGCAUUUGGACUGGUUUGCAGGCUGAGCACAGGGUUGCUCCAGGUGGGCCCAAAUGCUGAAGAGCCUCAUGUUAGAGUUUUUCACCUCUGCGAUGGAACUGUGGUGGACUCCAGUAUCAUCAUUCCAGGGAGGCAUAGCCGCACCAACUGUGUUCCCAGGUUUCACAUGGAGAAGGGUUUUAGAAAGUGCAGAUAGCCUUGAAACCAUUGGUUUCCUACCACUGUUUAUUUCAGCAUAACUUUUUUUGUGUGGAAUGCUAGCUCUGGAAGAGCAGAAAUAAAUACAGCUUAAGCUUUGAACCAU
Molecule: long non-coding RNA, 902 nt
Filed under: Homo sapiens (human)
Lineage: Eukaryota; Metazoa; Chordata; Mammalia; Primates; Hominidae
Description: HSALNT0397430
Source: RNAcentral